This 139-nucleotide non-coding RNA is filed under the name Hahella chejuensis. RNAcentral's name for it is "TPP sequence". It matches the Rfam family "TPP riboswitch aptamer (THI element)". From Rfam's summary of the family: Vitamin B(1) in its active form thiamin pyrophosphate (TPP) is an essential coenzyme that is synthesised by coupling of pyrimidine and thiazole moieties in bacteria. The previously detected thiamin-regulatory element, thi box was extended, resulting in a new, highly conserved RNA secondary structure, the THI element, which is widely distributed in eubacteria and also occurs in some archaea. Analysis of operon structures identified a large number of new candidate thiamin-regulated genes, mostly transporters, in various prokaryotic organisms. RNAcentral also lists the same sequence under 1 other name. Lineage: Bacteria; Pseudomonadati; Pseudomonadota; Gammaproteobacteria; Oceanospirillales; Hahellaceae. The record is from RNAcentral.
GCAGUCUCAUCGGGGCGCCUGACUCCGCCGCGUUCAUUCGAUGCGCCAUUGCGCUCGAACACACGCCUGUCAGGCUGAGAGUGUACCCGUAGAACCUGAUCCAGUUAAUGCUGGCGUAGGAAAUGAGGCCGGCAAGUCC